GAGGGACAGCCAGUGGGGUCUGGAGUUCUGCUCCCAGGUCGAAGGUUAAUCUCUACUCGCUUUUGCUCCGUCCGCCUGCCACCGUUUUGAAGAUAAAACACCUUAAAACCCCUCGCCUCCAAAUUAUAGCCUCUUCAAUUUAUCAGAGCAUCGUUCAAUGGCAUUGGCCAUCUCAAAUUUAUUGCAAUGCCCUAAUGUGCAGCUUUCCCGCAAGAAUUUUCAGCCCAAAGUCUCUAAGACAUCAUUAUCUUCUGUCAGGUUCAUAAAAAUAAAUGGACGGAUGGGCCAUAGGGUUAUCUGCGCUGCUGCAUCUGCAGCAGGGAGUUCUAAUCCGGACAGUAACUUAAAUCCAUAUGAGGUCCUAGGUGUUAGCCCUAUUGAGGGAUUUGACAUGAUCAAGGCAGCAUAUACCAAAAAACGAAAGGAGGCUGAGAGGAUUGGCGAUGAAGAAACUGCUGCCAGAGUGGAAAAGGCAUAUGACAAAGUGAUGAUGGCACAAUUAACUAAUCGAAAGAAGGGUGUGACUUUUGGUUCGUUCAAGGUUUCUAAGGACAUAAAGUAUGCUGACAAGCAGCCAAUUGUACCUUGGGGGCCGAGGUUUUCCAAAUCGAGUAAAAAUGAUAUGCGUAUCAACCUUGCGAUAUCUGCUGUUUUUACAGCUUGGGUCCUUAUCAAGCGUAAUGCAGAAUAUAAACCUUUGCAGUUUUUGGCAUUUGCUUUUGUUUAUCGGCUUUUUGAGAAGUUAAAAUCCUUUGAACCACCUGUAAACCCCACAUAUAAUGAAGAUGGUGAGGAUACAGGAGAAGGGCUGCGAAUGGGAAAACGACUACUCCGAUCACUGGCUUUGGUUUUUGGCUGCAUAGCUGUUUCGUCUUUGGCAUACACUGGUCUUUUGAACGUCAUCGAGUUCUCAGGUGGCUACAUACCUGCUUUGCUUUACAACAGUCAGCUUGAAAGCUGUUGCCAACCCAGGCGCAGUCAAUAAUAUGAUGGUAGUCUUGCCGUUUGACGUCCUCUGGGACUGGUUUCCUCUUGUCUUGUGUGGAGUUGAUAAUCACCACGUCAUCGGCAGUAAUGCUUUACAUCAUGGCGUCAUUUUAUAGAUAAAGGGAACUUCGCUGAACCUGAAGGCACCCCGCAGCGAGUCAUGGUCGAGAAUUAGUGCCGCCGUGUUCCUUUGUGUUCGCAGCGUUUCACUAUCAAAUUUUGUGAGCUGAGGUUGAGAUUCUGUAGAAAUGGAUGGUAUUAGCAAUAUUUCUACUACUGGUGUUUGAUGUUGUUCAUUUUCUUCGAUAACUCGUGUUGCCAGUUGCUCCCGAGGGCCCAAAACAAAAAACACACACGCACACACAAAAACCAUUUGUCCGUGCCCGUUGCCCCACACAAGAAUGGUAGGGUUGUUUAGAAGGAUGGUCUACGGUGUUGCACGCGCUUAUUCGAAAAACGGGUAGGUGUUUCAUUGUUUCAUUUCUGAUCCUCCGAAUUUGUCUUGAAAAGCGUUUGAUAAUUAGUUUAUAUUUAUAUAUUUACCACAGAGCCUUCAGCUUU
RNA transcript from Neltuma alba, 1548 nucleotides. RefSeq lists it as uncharacterized. The record is from RefSeq and is a predicted model, not a curated record. The transcript is spliced from 11 exons. Lineage: Eukaryota; Viridiplantae; Streptophyta; Magnoliopsida; Fabales; Fabaceae.